Long non-coding RNA from Solanum dulcamara, 9086 nucleotides. RefSeq lists it as uncharacterized. The transcript is spliced from 13 exons. NCBI's taxonomy places the organism in Eukaryota, Viridiplantae, Streptophyta, Magnoliopsida, Solanales, Solanaceae. The record is from RefSeq and is a predicted model, not a curated record.
GUCCUAUCUGGAGUUCUGGACAAAAGAGGAGAACAACCUAUCUUGAUUCCAAGCAAGAAUUUGUCAUGCCUGAACCAAAUUCAGAACUGGGGUUGGAUCUGCAACAUCCAUCCUCAAGCUUCAAUAUCAUUUACCAGGUAAGUUACGAUCUUUGUUUAGAUUUUCAUCACACAACCAGUCUAUGGAACUUGAUGAAAUUGCCAUUUACCUGAAAUUCCAUUGCUCUAAAUUAUGCAACAUUCAUUAAAGUUAAACCUAAUUCUGAGCACGAAGUUCUAUAUUUUGGUUACAAUAGGAACUUAUAUCUGAUUCACAAGCAGCCAACAUCUGUCACACUUCUUGCGGUAACAUUCUCUAAUACUUGUCUCUGUCAAAUUAUACAUUCAAAAAGUUAAGUACAUGUAAACCAUUUGCAAAUCAGUCUUUUAGAAGGGAAAAGUAUUGUAGUUCUUAAUUUAGGAUUAGUUGCUCACCUACAUUCUCAAACCUUUUACUACACUUUAUAGCUUAUUCUCUUCAAUGUUCAUAUACCUCCCUCUGAAGGAUAUAUGUCGGUCUAAAUGUGGAAAACAAAGCAUGACAAGCCCUUCUUCUCAGGCUAGUUAUUCCAUUCUGAGGUAUCAAUAGCACAAUUUAUAUCAUUUUGUGCUCCGUCUUGUUGAAAGCAAAAAGGAUUUUUGAGGGUUUAAGCCUUUCAAGUGUUAUUUGUGCGCAUUAUCUCUUAAGAGGUCCAUUUUAUCUUUUAAUUGGGUUUAUUAUAGCAAGUGAAUUAUGAAUUGUAACUUCUAAGGGAAGAGCUUUUUUGUUCUAAUACCAUCUGUAACAAGACAAUGCUAUAGAGGUUCUCUCUUUUUGAUUUAUAAGGCCUUGAAGCUUGAAUAGCUUCCAAGUUAAUUUGGAAAACUAUUCAUGACAUCAUUCAUGUUUUAGGAAAUACUCCAUUAGGAUAGGUAUAAAACUACUAGCUUGGUCUUUGUUCUUGCCAUUGUUUAUAGGACGGCAAGUGUUUGUUCCUUGGAAUUGAUGAUUGUAGACAAAAUGUUGGUACAACAGGUAAUCCAUUAUAAGCCCUACCUGAUACAUGAGUUGAUGUUGUUUGCUUAAAAGAAAAUUUCUUGGGAAUUUCUCUUUUCAGUCAUUGUUCGUGAUGUAUUUUACAACUAACCUGUUCGAAGGAAGCAAAUACACUCCCAACCCAAAGAGGGUCUUGCAUUCUCUGCAAGAGUCUCUGCUAAGAAUACUCCUUGUGCAUCCCAGUGGCUCCUUCAAAAUUGUUGAUUUUGAAAGUGAGGAUGACUAGCUUUGAACACGUGCUUCUCUUUCUCUGUUGCCUCUAUUGUCCAGUGGGUUUGGUAUUCAUCUGAGAUCCCUUAACAAUUUGAAUGCAAGCGAUGGUUCAUUGAAGCUCUCAGGAUACAUCUCAAGUCCUGAUGUUUACACUGUGAAGGUCCUUCGAUAAUUCUGUAUCUACUUAUUUCAGUAUAUUCUCCUGAACAAAGAAAACUGAAAGCUAACCUGUGGUUAGCAUUUACUAUAUCGGAUGAUUGUUUUUUACAGUGUUUUUGUUUUCCUUGACCUUCGUAAUGCUGAUAUCAAUUCAAGAUUUAUUUCCAAAGGACCAAUAAAUGAAUUAUUUAAUAACAUAUCAAUGAGUUUUGACAGUGCUUCUGACAUGGAGAAGCAAAGUAGAUCUCAUAUAUAUCCACUGUUUUUGUUCAACCUAAACUGCCCAAGAUCAUACCUGCAAAGACCUCUGGAAUUUAAGAGCUGUACUGGAACAGAGAAUUUGUUGGUGAUUCAUUGGUUCCUAUACCAUUGAUAAAAACUACCUGGAGGGUGCCAAAGUUCUCCAACAGGUUGACAAGAAGUUUUUUUACUAUUGUGGCGAGCACUAUAAUUGAUCAGGGAUACUUUGGUUGGAUCUACAACAAUCCUUCUCAAGCUUCAAGAUCAUUUACCAGGUAAGUUAUGAUCUUUGUUUAGAUUUUCAUCAACACCCAGUCUAUGGAACUUGAUAAAAUUGCCAUUUACCAGAAGUUUUAUUGCACUAACGUUUGUAACAUUCAUUAAAGUUAAACCUCCUAACUCUGAGCAUGAAGUUGUAUGUUUUGGUUAGAGCAGGAACUUAAAUCUGGUUCACAAACAGCCAACAUCUGUCACAUUUCUUGCUGCUAGCAUUCUCUAAUACUUCUCUCUGUCAUAUUAUAGAUUCAAAAAGUUAAGAGUACAUGUAAACCAUUUGCAAAUCAGUCUUAGAAGGGAAAGGUAUUGUAGUACUGAUUGUAGUUGUUAAUACAUGAUUAGUUCCACAUGUAUAUUCUCAAACUUUUUCUUUUUGAGAAGGUAACAACUUGUAUUCUAUUCCAAAUAUCCAAACCUGCCACAACAUGUUACAGGUUUACUAAUUACAGAUAUAGGAGAGUAUCAGGAAAAUCUUCAAUCCUCAAAGCAAAAAUUACAAGGUGCCUAAAGCAUUCAGUACUGAUUCUAGAUCUUCCAUAUACUCUUGUUUACACAAAAAAUGAAACAAAACUAAACAAUUCAUCUUCAUCUUCUGGAUGUUGUUACUCUUGUUCAGCAUCUGAGAUUCCUCUCUUUCCACACAGGCCACUGCACAUUCAUAGCUUAUUCUCUUCAACAUUCAUAUUCCUCCCUCUGAAGGAUAUAUGCCUGUCUAAAUGUGGAAAACAAAGCAUGACUAGAACUUCUUCGCAGGCUAGUUAUUCCAUUCUGAGGUAUCAAUAACAGUUCAUAUCAGUUAUGUGUUCCAUUUUGUUAAAAGCAAGAAUGCUUUUUGAGGGUUUAAGCUUUUCAAGUGUCAUUUGUGCGCAUUGUCUCUUACGGUCCAUUUUAUGUUUUAAUUGGGUUGAUUAUAGCAAGUAAAUUUGAUUUGUAACUUAUAACUUAUAAAGGGAAGAGCUUUUUUGUUCUAAGACCAUCAGUAACAAGAGUAACAAGACUAUGCUACAGGUUCUCUCUUUUUGAAUUAUAAGGCCUUGAAGCUUGAAUAGCUUCCAACUUAAUUUGGAAACUAUUCAUCACAUCAUUCAUCUUUUAGGAAAUGCUGCACUAGCUAACAAGAUUCUCUUGCACGUAUUUCAUAAGAAAAUAAUUGUUUUCUUGAUAAUACAAUUUCCAUGUAUCUAGUGCGUUAAUUUAACUGAUGUGGAUCUGUUAGAAUUUCUUCAACAGGUUAGUCCAUCGACACUAUCUAGCUCUCAUAUUUUACUCCAUUUAAUUAAACUCUAAUCUUUCUUAUGUUCUUGCUUAAAUAUCGUGUCAUGUUGUUCUUGCUUAAAUGUCGUGUCAUUGUUGAAGAGCUGAAGCAGACUUCAUUGUGUUUCAAGUGAGAAAAUAUCUGUGUUGGCACUGCAUUUGAUGGCAUGUUUAAGAGAGGAAUUCCAUAUUAUGAAUGACUGCAAGAUCUUUUCAUUUGUUAGUUUGCUCAUGGGGAUCAACUUUUGUCCCUCUUUUGCCAACUUGGGUGCUCUGCAUGAGCAGAUUGCUUAGUUAGGUUCGUGGAGUAGGAGUUCCUCCAAGGCAUGGCAUAGAUUACAUCGGCAUUGUUGGGGGGAGAAAGCACCACAACUAAAGUUUGAUAUAGUGAAAAUAAUGAAAAUAAAUUGGACACGAGAAUUUUACGUGGAAACCCUUCUAAAUGAUAGAAGGGAAAAACCACGGGGUAAAAGGAUCUCACUAUAAAAAUAUGGAGUACACAACUCUCAAAUACAAGGAGAAAAUAACAAUUAACACUUCUCUCUUGUAAAAGGAACAACUACUAAAGAGGACACUCAAGACUAAAAUAUUUAUUUUGGUGUAUAAUUCUCUUUGUAUUCUUACUCUCUUUUUCUAGGAUGGGAUAAAUGAGGGCAAGAGGUCUUCUAUUUAUAGGAAACUAGAAACGCGUAAAAUCCGCGUAUUGAACCUCCCUUUUUGACUACGCGUUCAAAACGCGUUUUGUUCCUUUUUUGACUACGCGUUCAAAAUGCGUUUUGUUGACUACGCGUUCAAAAUGCGUUUUGACUAUCUUGCAUUUUCCCACUUGAAGAUUUAAUUGAGAAUCAAUUAAGUCUUCACACCAUCCUUUCUACCCAAUUACUGCAAUGUUAUGUUUCUGCUAGGCCAAUAGAAGAUCGACACCAUAUGAACUUGUUACUGUUGAAAGGGCAAGAAUCAUCUCUGUGGGGUGGCAGCAAUGCAAGAAGAAAUUGAAGCUCUCCAUAAAAAUAAAACAUGGGAUCUUGUUCAAUUACCACAAGGAAGGAAGGCCAUUGGAAACAAAUGGGUCUACAAGAUCAAAUGCAAUGGUAAUGAUCAAGUGGAGAAGUAUCGUGCAAGAUUGGUGGUGAAAGGAUUCGCUCAGAAAGAAGGUAUAGACUUCAAUGAGAUUUUUUCUCCGGUGGUUCGACUCACAACAAUUCGAGUGGUUCUGGCGAUGUGUGCUACAUUUGACUUGUACUUGGAGCAGUUAGAUGUCAAAACUGCAUUUCUUCAUGGAGAACUUGAAGAAGAAAUUUAUAAAAUUAAGUAUUGUGAUUUGUAGUAUUUUGAAUGAAGACACUCCAUUGGACAGACUUUCGUAAAACGCCCUGACCAUUUUUCUUUCAUGGUCUAGACUUUAUUGUUUCUUAAAAAUGGAAAACUGUGCCAUGUAAGAGAAUGGGGAGUUAUACGGUUCAACUUUUCUGAUUUUGUUAAUGUUUUCAUUUGAGGAUCAGUAGAGGUGGGCUGCUGAAAACAUCAUAGUUAAGUGAAUAACUAUGGCAGGUCGUGCUUUCAUGCAGUUUUAAAUGUUUAGACUUAUUGCUCCUGCGACUUUGUGUGUUGCUUGCAGAAAAGGCAGUGACCGGUGAGGCUCUUCAAAGAGUUCUUAUGUUCCUUUGUUUGCUACUUCUGAUGAUGAGGGCAUAUGCUUUAUAUGAAAAUCGAUACUAUUUUUUCUCCUCUUAGUAUGAUGCUCCAUUAUAGUAUCAAUGUUUUAAUACUCUUUAUGAUUUUAUUAGGUAAUGAAUGGAAAUUUUUGGUGUUGUUCUUGAAGGCCCCACUCACACAACUCUAAAAAGAUUAAGUAGUUUAAUUAAAAGAAGUUGUGAUUGUAGUAUAUGAAUGAAGACACUCAAUUGGACAGACUUCCGUAAACACCCUCACUGGUUAGUUUCUUUUACAUGGUCUAGACUUUUUGAUUUUUGAUUGUUUCUUAAAAGUUGAAAAUUGCUCCAUGUAAGAGAAUGAGGAAUUAUAUUUUUAUUUCUGAUUUUGUUAAUGUUUUGAGGAUCAAUAGAAGUGGGCUGCUGAGAAUAUGGCAAGUCGUGCUUUUAUGCAACUUUAAUCGCUUAGAUUAGUUGCACAAAAGGCAGUGAUCUGUGAGGCUCUUCAAUGAAUUCUUAUCUUCCUUUGUUAGCUACUUCUGAUGACGAGGGCAUAUGCUUUAUAUGAAAAUUGAUGUACCUUUUCUCCUCUUAGUAUGAUGCUCCAUUCUAAGUAUCAUAAGUAAUUUUUUUUCAAAAUGAAUAUUCUUAUAUCGCAACUGUAUUUCUUUUUUCCAUGAGAUUUACUUCCUUAUGGGUUCUUUUUAUGUUUGUUAUCUUAUAAGUAGUGUACUCCUAGUUUGAACUUAAACCAAUUUCCACCAAGUAUAUGUUGCUAUAGGCAGUGGGACCUGCUAUGUUAAGGUGGAUAACAAUGGUAAGCAUUAGUUUCUUUGACAUUGAUCUAAUGCAUUUUGAUGUGCAGAAAGUUCUGCUCAGUUUAUUAUUUUACUUCAUCAUCUGAACUUGUACUUUAUUUUGAAGGAAGAGUGUUUCAUGAGAUGGGCUGGUGCUGAUGGGAGAAAUAUAUUGUAAUCUUUUUGCAAAGUGUUGUACUGACAUCAUCUUUUCUAUUGUAUUGAUGCUGCUGUACAUAAUUUCUUUUGCCCGACAACUAUGAUGUUCAUAACUUGGAAUGAAAGUUGUAGUCUAUAGGAUUGCAUGCAUUACUCAACUGAUAGGCUGUUUGACGGUUUGAGUUCAUUAGUAUCUUUUUUCAAGUGUUCUUUUAUUUAUGGUUUUGUGGUUUUAUUUGUAAUUGGGCAAACGGUUUUAUGGUUUUACUUGUAAUGGGGCAAGUGUUUGCACCUUGGAAUUGAUGAUUCUAGACAAGAUGUUGGUAAAACAGGUAAUUCUGUAUAAGCCUACUUGAUACAAGAGCUGACUGCUGUUUGCUAAUAAUGAAAUUUGUUGGUAUUUUUCUUUUUGCAGUCAUUUUUUGUGAUCUAUUUUACAAUCAAACAUUUCGAAGAAAGCAAAUGCACUCCAAGUACUUGUAGUUUUCUCACAAUUCAAAGUACUCUGGUUUGCAUAUAUAAUCUUGGAAGCCCAAAGAGAGUCUUGCAUUCUAUGAAAGAGUCUCUGCUAAGAAUCGCCCUUGUGCAUCCUAAUGUCUCAUUUUGUUGAUGUUGAUAGGUCUGUCUUUGUUAAUCCAGCUAACUUAAGGAUAUUUCCUGUCUGGUUUCUUAAGAUUUUGUUCAUUUUCAUGGCUUUGCACACGUGCUACUCCUUCUCUGUUGCCACUAUUGUCCAGUGGGUUUGGGAUUCAUCUGGAUUCCCUUAACAAAUUGAAUGCAAGUGAUGGUUCAUUCAAACUCUCAGGAUACAUUGGUCUUGAUGUUUACACAGUGAACGGUCCUUCAAUAUUUCUGUUUCCACUUAUUUCAGUAUAUGUUCCUGAACAAAGAAAACGGAAAACUAAUCUUUGGUAUCAAUUCAAGAUUUGCUUCCAAAGGACCAAUACAUAAACAUAAAUUACUUAAUAACACAACGAUGAGCAGUGAAAACAAUCUCAGAUAUAUCCACUGUUUUGUUGUACCUAAACUGCUCAAGAUAUAUUUAUAUGAUUUGACUUUGGAGCCUUCAAUGACCUCUAUGGAAUUCAAGGUUAGAUUUUUUGUUGGUAUUUAUUAUUUAAUUGUUUUGGUGUUGGGAAACGAGUGUGAGUCUUUUUAUUUAUUUUUGUAGAAUUGAGUUUUUGUUGGGGCUCUUUUGUGAGAAUUGGUUUAGGUUGUUUUCUGUAAAAAAAUAUUUCAAAACAUCUAAUCAUUUUUUGAAACUUUAAUGUGGGUGAAAUAAAUAGAUUAAAAAAACUGGCUAAACAUCAUUAUUUAUUACUAAUCUUAUUGGAAUUCAAAGUUUUAGAAAGGACCCCCUGUCCAGCAAGGCCCUUGUGUCACAGUUGUUCCCAGAGAACAAAAUACACUCUCCCAUUGAUUAUCGGAGGACAAUGUAAAACCACGUUUCUAGCUUCUUUUGGUUGCAAACCAAAUAGACCAAUGUUAACAAGGACAUGUCAUACAUAUUUGUUUUACUGAUUGUAGUGUCAUGACAAUGUAUUUUCUGCUUCUAAGACUGACCAUUCAUGUUUGAACUUAGACUCCAUGUUUUUGCUUACCCAAUCAUUUCUGCUUCCCCUUAAAUGGAUUUUGCAGUCUUUGUUUUCAAAUUUACAUCAAUUUUCAUAAAUGAGGUAUUUACUACAUCAAUCUUCUUGGAGCCUUGCUAUCUUUAGGAGAUUGUGACAUCCAGCUGUAUUUUGAUUUUUGAGUGGGAUCAGGGUAGAGGGGUGGCUCAUGUUCUCAGGAGUUUCAAGCUUGUAGGUCAAUCUGGGCAAUCUAAUUCACAAUAAUAUUUUCCGUUUUUCAUAAAAAAUUAAGCCCUACCAAAACAAUUUGGUUGAUCUUCAUUCUUCAGCUGUGGAGGUUGGAAACACAGCUUUGACCUAUUAAAUAUGCUAACACUGUUGAUCUUUGGCAUUAUUCCAGAGACACAAGAGCUUUCGAGGAUACUUUUUUAUGUAUCCUUUGUUCAAAAGAUACACCUGUGAAUUAUGAGAUCAAGAAAAAGAAGAGCAGGGCCCAGAAUUGCAAAGCUACACUUGAGCUUCCUUCCCAGCAGCCAAAGAAAUUGACUGGAGAGUGCACUGUCCAGAGAGAGAUUCGAUCUUCGCAGAAUAUUCUGUGGUGAAGUGCCUCUGGAUCCUGAGUCCAGAUUCCUCUUGUCAGAUUGAAAAUUCAAGUCGGUCAAUUGAUGGAUCUCUUGCUCAUUGCACAGUUGGUGUAAACUGGAAAUCGAGAAGCUCUGUGCAACCCCUUUCAUCUAAUAUUUGCCUAUAGAGGAUGAUUUCCUGGAUAACAAAUUCAGUGCUUCAGCUAGCUUCAGUUACAAAAUAUUGAUGCUUACAUUUUGUGUUUGCUCAUGUACAUCUCAAUCUUGGUGCUUCAUUUGCAAUAUACAAAUUCAGUGCUUCAGCCAUUCAGAUGAUAUGCAUGCUUUCCAAGCAAGCUUUGGCUUCAAAGGAGAGGCUCUGAGCUAUAUUUCUUUGUUGGAAAUUGUUACUAAAACUCACUGGAGGCCAAAUGAAUAUCGUAAGGUUUUGAAGGACGGCAAGUGUUUGUACCUUGGAAUUGAUGAUUGUAAACAAGAGGUUGGUAUACAUGUAAUUCUGUAUAAGUUUACCUGACACAUGAGUUGACUGUUGUUUGCUAAUAAGGAAAUUGUUGGGAUUUUUCUUUUUGCAUUUAUUGUUUAUGAUGUAUUUUACAACCAAUUAGUUCCAAGGAAGCGAAUGCAUUCCAAGUACUUCUAGUUUUCUGACAAUUUAAAUAAAUGAAAAAUAUUGAUUUACGUAGUUUACUUCUAAAUCUGUACUCUGUCCUGUUUGAUCUUUUGGUUUGCAUAUAAUCUGGAAGCCCAAAGAGGGUAUCACAUUCUCUAAAAGAGUCUCUGCUAAGAAUUGUCGUUGUGCAUCCUAGUGUCUCCUUCAAAAUUGUUGAUAUUGAAAGGUCUGUCUCUGUUAUACCAGCUAACUUAGGAUAUUUCCUGACUGGUUUCUUAGAUUUUGUUCAUUUGCAUGCGAGUAUGACCUACUCUGCACACGUGCUUCUCCUUCCCCAGUGUCGCUAUUGUCCAAUGGGUUUGGGAUUCAUCUGAGUUCCCUUUAUGAAUUGAAUGCUAUCGAUGGUUCAUUCAAGCUCUCCGGAUACAUCUCAGGUCGUGAUGUUUACACAGUGAAGAUAUACAGGCCCAAAUUGAUGGAUAAGAUAUGUGAUAAGU